UCGACUAGCAUGCGAGUUGAGAGGGGUAAGCCCUCGGCGAAUUGCUCAGUAACACGCCGAUAACCUGCCCUUGGGUCCGGGAUAACCCCGGGAAACUGGGACUAAUACCGGAUAGAUCAAAGAUACUGGAAUGUUCCUUGGUCCAAAACUCCGGUGCCCAAGGAUGGGUCUGCGGCCUAUCAGGUUGUAGUGGGUGUAACGUACCUACUAGCCUACGACGGGUAAGGGUUGUGAGAGCAAGAGCCCUGAGAUGGAUUCUGAGACAUGAAUCCAGGCCCUACGGGGUGCAGCAGGCGCGAAAACCUUACACUGCUAGAAAUAGCGAUAAGGGGACCCCGAGUGCCAGUACCUAGUACUGGCUGUCCCGCUGUCCAAACAACAGUGGUUAGC
This 390-nucleotide ribosomal RNA is filed under the name uncultured methanogenic archaeon. RNAcentral's name for it is "bacterial SSU rRNA". It matches the Rfam family "Archaeal small subunit ribosomal RNA", at positions 40 to 437 of the family's 1478-position model. Lineage: Archaea; Methanobacteriati; Methanobacteriota. The record is from RNAcentral.